GGUCAAGUCCUGCGCAACUGGACGUAGCUCAACCCGCCAGGUCCGGAAGGAAGCAACGGUCGGUUACGGAAGGUGUGACGCAGGUAGCUUGGCCUCU
This 97-nucleotide signal recognition particle RNA is filed under the name Ignavibacteria bacterium. Its description in RNAcentral is "signal recognition particle sRNA small type". It matches the Rfam family "Bacterial small signal recognition particle RNA". From Rfam's summary of the family: The signal recognition particle (SRP) is a universally conserved ribonucleoprotein involved in the co-translational targeting of proteins to membranes. Archaeal SRP consists of a 7S RNA and homologues of the eukaryotic SRP19 and SRP54 proteins. Lineage: Bacteria; Pseudomonadati; Ignavibacteriota; Ignavibacteria. The record is from RNAcentral.